CUACAUAUCAAUAAGCGGAGGAAAAGAAACCAACAGGGAUUGCCCUAGUAACGGCGAGUGAAGCGGCAACAGCUCAAAUUUGAAAUCUGGCCUUCUUUGGGGGUCCGAGUUGUAAUUUGCAGAGGGUGCUUUGGCGUUGGCAGCGGUCUAAGUUCCUUGGAACAGGACAUCACAGAGGGUGAGAAUCCCGUACGUGGUCGCCUGCCUUCGCCGUGUAAAGCCCCUUCGACGAGUCGAGUUGUUUGGGAAUGCAGCUCUAAAUGGGAGGUAAAUUUCUUCUAAAGCUAAAUACUGGCCAGAGACCGAUAGCGCACAAGUAGAGUGAUCGAAAGAUGAAAAGCACUUUGGAAAGAGAGUCAAACAGCACGUGAAAUUGUUGAAAGGGAAGCGCUUGCAGCCAGACUUGCUCGUAGUUGCUCACCUGGGUUCGCCCGGGGCACUCUUCUGCGGGCAGGCCAGCAUCAGUUUGGGCGACCGGAUAAAGGCCUCUGUCAUGUAUCUUCCUUCGGGAUGACCUUAUAGGGGAGGCGCAAUACGGCCAGCCCGGACUGAGGUCCGCGCAUCUGCUAGGAUGCUGGCGUAAUGGCUGUAAGCGGCCCGUCUUGAAACACGGACCAAGGAGUCUAACAUCUAUGCGAGUGUUUGGGUGUCAAGCCCGAGCGCGUAAUGAAAGUGAACGGAGGUGGGAACCCUCUUCGGGGGGUGCACCAUCGACCGAUCCUGAUGUCUUCGGAUGGAUUUGAGUAAGAGCAUAGCUGUUGGGACCCGAAAGAUGGUGAACUAUGCUUGAAUAGGGUGAAGCCAGAGGAAACUCUGGUGGAGGCUCGCAGCGGUUCUGACGUGCAAAUCGAUCGUCAAAUUUGGGCAUAGGGGCGAAAGACUAAUCGAACUAUCUAGUAGCUGGUUCCUGCGA
RNAcentral lists this ribosomal RNA (913 nucleotides) under Keissleriella cirsii. Its description in RNAcentral is "eukaryotic LSU rRNA". It matches the Rfam family "Eukaryotic large subunit ribosomal RNA", at positions 34 to 963 of the family's 3401-position model. Lineage: Eukaryota; Fungi; Ascomycota; Dothideomycetes; Pleosporales; Lentitheciaceae. The record is from RNAcentral.